GAGUUUGAUUCUGGCUCAGGAUGAACGCUGGCGGUAUGCCUAACACAUGCAAGUCGAACGAAGUCUUCGGACUUAGUGGCGGACGGGUGAGUAACGCGUGAGAAUCUGCCUUCAGGAUGGGGACAACAGUUGGAAACGACUCCCCCGGGGCGGAUGUGCCCUUGGGUGAAAGUUAUUUCGCCUGAAGAGGAGCUCGCGUCCGAUUAGCUAGUUGGUGGGGUAAAAGCUUACCAAGGCAACGAUCGGUAGCUGGUCUGAGAGGAUGAGCAGCCACACUGGGACUGAGACACGGCCCAGACUCCUACGGGGAGGGCAGCAGUGGGGAAUUUUCCGCAAUGGGGCGAAAGCCUGACGGGAGCAAUCCGGCGUGGAGGGGAGGAGGCUUUUGGGGUUGAAACCUCUUUUUUUCAGGAAGAAGCAAUGACGGACUGGAGAAUCAGCAUCGCAACUCCGUGCCACGCCCGGUAUCCGAGAAGCAGCUUUUCCGAACCUGGCCUAAAGCCCCCGGGGCCUCCAUCGUGCAAACAAAAUUAUUUCGGCGGGGGACUGUAACUAA
RNAcentral lists this ribosomal RNA (556 nucleotides) under uncultured cyanobacterium. RNAcentral's name for it is "bacterial SSU rRNA". The stretch from base 1 to 486 matches the Rfam family "Bacterial small subunit ribosomal RNA", at positions 9 to 546 of the family's 1533-position model. The record is from RNAcentral. Lineage: Bacteria; Bacillati; Cyanobacteriota.